Molecule: ribosomal RNA, 637 nt
Filed under: uncultured beta proteobacterium
Lineage: Bacteria; Pseudomonadati; Pseudomonadota; Betaproteobacteria
Description: bacterial SSU rRNA
Rfam family: Bacterial small subunit ribosomal RNA
Source: RNAcentral
GUCCACGCCGUAAACUAUGUCAACUGGUUUUCGGGAGAUUAACUCUCUUGGUAACGAAGCUAACGCGUGAAGUUGACCGCCUGGGGAGUACGGCCGCAAGGUUAAAACUCAAAGGAAUUGACGGGGACCCGCACAAGCGGUGGAUUAUGUGGAUUAAUUCGAUGCAACGCGAAAAACCUUACCUACCCUUGACAUGUACGGAAUCCUUCAGAGAUGGAGGGGUGCCCGAAAGGGAACCGUAACACAGGUGCUGCAUGGCUGUCGUCAGCUCGUGUCGUGAGAUGUUGGGUUAAGUCCCGCAACGAGCGCAACCCUUGUCAUUAGUUGCUACAUUUAGUUGGGCACUCUAAUGAGACUGCCGGUGACAAACCGGAGGAAGGUGGGGAUGACGUCAAGUCCUCAUGGCCCUUAUGGGUAGGGCUUCACACGUAAUACAAUGGCCGGUACAGAGGGCUGCCAACCCGCGAGGGGGAGCUAAUCUCAGAAAGCCGGUCGUAGUCCGGAUUGUUCUCUGCAACUCGAGAGCAUGAAGUUGGAAUCGCUAGUAAUCGCGGAUCAGCAUGUCGCGGUGAAUACGUUCCCGGGUCUUGUACACACCGCCCGUCACACCAUGGGAGUGGGUUUCACCAGAAGUAGU